This is a long non-coding RNA of Labrus mixtus (cuckoo wrasse), 928 nucleotides long. RefSeq lists it as uncharacterized. The transcript is spliced from 2 exons. NCBI's taxonomy places the organism in Eukaryota, Metazoa, Chordata, Actinopteri, Labriformes, Labridae. The record is from RefSeq and is a predicted model, not a curated record.
UUGACGCAACCAGAAAAAUACUGGAACAAAAGAAACAACUUCCUUGAAGCUUUGCUGAAACUGCACUUGGUGUGGAGAAUGGAAGCUUGUUGUCAACUUGGGCUGGAUGGAGAGAAAAAAAAAAAAACGUCGAGGUGAGGAGGGUGUCACCGGUGGCCGGCGGAGCAGCAGCAGCCGAGAGAGAGAGAGAGAGAGAGAGAGAGAUGCAGGCGAGCCACUCCGGAACGCAACCCAGGGCAAACCGAGUGGGGAACCUCUUUGCCCUAUAGGAGCCAACAGAAGUCUGCACAAGAUGCUGCUGACCUUAAGUGUAUUAAAGUCUGUGCCCAUUUGGUUGGACCAGAAGUCUGCAGGACAAGGAAAGUGCAAUUUAAAAACAGGAGGAUAAGAGUGGGAAGCAGAAGGACCCAUGGAUGCAGUUCUGGCAAUGCUGUAGCAGCACGGAAUGGUUUGUGGGUUACACUGAGAUGCAGGCCAUACUGUGCUGCCGCAAUAAAGCCUGAAAACACAACCUGGCUGUCCCAUCCGCACAGCUUUACCUGUUGCCUUUUUUCACAGAUUGUAUACUUAACUAAGACUUUUGUAAUUCAUUCUCCUGAGUACUGCCAUCUUCAUUAUUGUUCUUCUGAUACUGAAAACUAAGCUGAGUUCGCCUCUCAUCUGCUGGUCGCCUUACUGUAGCAGCACGUAAAUAUUGGAGUUAAGACUCUAGCUGAAGCCUCCAGUAUUGAUCGUGCUGCUGAAGCAAAGCUGACCACUCACAGUCAGAGCAAUCCAACCACUCGGUGAACUCCAGGGAUGCUUACAGGUACAUUGAUUACACAGAUUUAGGUAACCUCUAAGACGGUCUUGAUAUAAAAAAUGUUAAUUUCUACACACCAUCUGUUUACAUGUCUGCACACUUGAAAUAAAGAAAAUAAAUGAAUUG